Molecule: long non-coding RNA, 617 nt
Filed under: Nicotiana benthamiana
Lineage: Eukaryota; Viridiplantae; Streptophyta; Magnoliopsida; Solanales; Solanaceae
Description: long non-coding RNA (NBEN_LNC035884)
Source: RNAcentral
AAAUGUGUCCAGGUGGCCCUAGAGAAAUCAUCAACUAUGGUGAGAAAGUAUUUACUGCCAAAGGAAGUAGAAGUAUGGUAAGGACCCCAAGUGUCUACAUGUAUUAGUUGAAAGGGUCUAGUAGUGCUAAUACUGCUAUCAGAAAAAGGCAAUCCGGUUUGUUUUGCCAUAGGACAAAUAGAACAAGGAAAAGGUUGUUUAGCAGCAAAGGGAAAAGAAAAAGGUAAUCUGGUCUGUUUUGCCAUAGGACAAAUAGAGCAAGGAAAAGGUUGUUUAGAAGCAAAAGGAAAAGAUAAACCAGAAAUAUGUUUCAUAUUAGCAAAAGAAGUAUGUGCUAAUCUCAAAUGCCAAAUGUAAUUCAUAUCAAAAGUGGCAGCAUUAUUACAACUGGAAGUAUGUACAAUUGAGGAUGAGCUAAAAUGUUUGCUGUCAGAAACAACAUCAUCAUUACAAACAUUAGAAACACUAUGCUCAGAAGUAGAGGAGGAUUUAGAAGAAGUAGAAGAGGAAGGAGGCAGCCAAGAAUACUUGUAUAACCCAGCUUCCUCCUUACCAAGAGCCAGAAGCCUCUUCAGAGAAAGGUCCUGUAACAGGUAAAGGAGACAUGAAGUUGGAGU